AAUGCUUAUCCUGGUCCUGCGGCCCCAGACCACGCUCUAAUAGGAGGAAUUGUAGCUGUAGUUGUAUUUGUCACAUUAUGUUCAAUUAUCUUGCUUGGACGAUACUUGGCAAGACAUAAAGGGACAUACUUAACAAACGAAGCAAAAGGCGCUGAAGAUGCCCCUGAUGCAGACACAGCCAUUAUCAAUGCAGAAGGCAGCCAAGUCAACGCAGAGGAGAAGAAGGAAUAUUUCAUUUAAAUGCAAACCCGGGUGACGACGCAUUUCACUUAUCAGGCUGACUGCUGGAAAAAACUGGCUAUCACUUUUCAGAAUUCAUUCCCCCGCCAUCUUCCGCUCCAUUUUAUUAACUUCUGCUAUCAAUAGCCAGCUUAGGCCAACAAUCAGUUGUUGACGGCAUCAUAAUUUAAUUACAUUUCAUAAUGCGGGACUUUUCUUACUGCUGAAAAAAAAUAUAUAAAACAGGAAAAAAAAAGUCCAUCAUUCUGUUUUAAUUCAGUCAUACAGUGCUUGAAUAUACAGCCUUAACAGUUUAUUUUACACUUUUUAUUUUUCAGAACAUAUUUUAUUUUUUAUGUUUACGCAAUGACAGACUUCCAGGCUGCCCUUUUAUAUAUAUUCUCCAGCACACAUACAUGAACACACAGACAUGUAUAUUUAGUCCAUGUUAUUGUACUGCAAUGCUCUGAGUCUAUGACCUACUCAUAGAGAACCAUUAUUUCCUGGUAGGAUUUUGAGUAACAGUUCCCCAUGUGGAUGUGUGAGGUAUUACGUACAA
Long non-coding RNA from Nanorana parkeri, 778 nucleotides. RefSeq lists it as uncharacterized. NCBI's taxonomy places the organism in Eukaryota, Metazoa, Chordata, Amphibia, Anura, Dicroglossidae. The record is from RefSeq and is a predicted model, not a curated record. The transcript is spliced from 2 exons.